Molecule: long non-coding RNA, 1329 nt
Organism: Rattus norvegicus (Norway rat)
Lineage: Eukaryota; Metazoa; Chordata; Mammalia; Rodentia; Muridae
Source: RefSeq, a predicted model, not a curated record
CCCAGAGGCGGGCCUAGAGGAACGGGACGCAAGCGCCGCGGAGUCCAGCAGGCGUGGCAGGCUCUACGCCUGCGCAGUUCCAGUUUUGCGUAUACGUUAACCACCUGAUUUGGGCUUGGUUCUCAGCACCCAAAUGACUGCUGACAACUCCACUUCCAGGAGAGUCCAAUUCCCCCUUGUGGCUCUGGGGAGUACUGCAUGUUAUAAAAGCUGAAACCCUACUCUUUGUCUGUCCUAACAUACAAGAUCUUUGGAACAACCAAUCCCCUUAGGAACUCUGGAGGAAUGAAGGUUUUCACCAGAGUUUGACAAGAUGCAUGGGGAAAAUAUCUUUCCUGAAGGAACAAAUACAAAUGUUGCCUCUGUGCUAAUUAGAAAACCUGAACACUUGCAACAUUGCACUUGGGAGAAGGAGGCAGAGAGGAGGGUUCAGCCACCUCACUCACACAAUGGAAACAAAGUAAACAAGGUGUGGAGUGGAACACAAGAAGCUAGACACACAGCUCACCCAAAUCCAAGGACAGUCUGGUCUACAUAGUGAGUUCCAGGUCAGCCCCAGCUACAAGCAGCAAGAUCCAAACAAGACAAAGCCUGGUAUGGUGGUGCACACUUUAAUCCCAGCACUCCCGAGGCAGAUCUCUAAGUUUGAGGCCAGUCUACACACAGGUUCCAGGACAGCCAGGGCUGCAGAGUCCCAUCAGACCCUCCCCACAGCCCCAUUAACACUGGGCCAGCACUUCCAGUCUACAGUUUAUUGGGUUUAUAACUGGACAAAGUCACACGUGUACAAAACGAAGCUCAUACUAUCCCAAAGCAGAGUAGGGACUAAUGACUGGGGAUCCGUUACUGGCCGUUGGGGGAGCUCUGAGGUAAGGGUAUUCAACCUUCCCACUGCAGAGGUGUGGCCACAGGGUAGAGAGAAGAGGGGACCACCUGGCUUUGGUCACAAAACUCAGGGCCUGGCACUAAGCCAGGACAGACAGACAGAAGCCUCAAAAACCACCCUCCCAGGAAGCUAGGGACUGCCUGACCAGUCCCACUGUGAUGUGGCCGGUUCAGACCUAUACUCAGGGGCUAUUGGGAAGGGAAGGAGGCAGAGCAGGAGGGAGGAACGACACUGGUGAGCGGUCACUGGGGGUGCUUGGACCUGUGGAAAGGGUGGGCAGGAUGUGGGCCAGCCGCAGCGGGGCAGCUAGCAGCGGGUUUCGUAAAUGCCACUUCGGCCAAUGUAGCGCACCCAUUUGAUGACAUCGUGGUCGCUGUAGUUCAGCUUCGGCUCAAAUACCUUCAAGUAGCGCACCUUGAGGCCAGAAGGCGCAAAUGGCACCU